UGAUCUGAAAUGCCUUGUGUUCUGGUAAGA
This 30-nucleotide non-coding RNA is filed under the name Rattus norvegicus (Norway rat). Lineage: Eukaryota; Metazoa; Chordata; Mammalia; Rodentia; Muridae. The record is from RNAcentral.